Molecule: long non-coding RNA, 3441 nt
Organism: Epinephelus fuscoguttatus (brown-marbled grouper)
Lineage: Eukaryota; Metazoa; Chordata; Actinopteri; Perciformes; Serranidae
Exons: 7
Source: RefSeq, a predicted model, not a curated record
UCACAGGUGAGACACUGUGGACAGACAGGUAGAGACACAGACCACAGGUGAGACACUGAGGACGGACAGGUAGAGACACAGACCACAGGUGAGACACUGAGGACGGACAGGUAGAGACACAGACCACAGGUGAGACACUGAGGACGGACAGGUAGAGACACAGACCACAGGUGAGACACUGAGGACGGACAGGUAGAGACAGAGACCACAGGUGAGACACUGAGGACAGACAGGUAGAGACACAGACCACAGGUGCGACACUGAGGACGGACAGGUAGAGACACAGACCACAGGUGAGACACUAAGGACGGACAGGUAGAGACACAGACCACAGGUGAGACACUGAAGACGGACAGGUAGAGACACAGACCACAGGUGCGACACUGAGGACGGACAGGUAGAGACACAGAUGACAGGUGAGACACUGAGGACAGACAGGUAGAGACACAGACCACAGGUGAGACACUGAAGACGGACAGGUUGAGACACAGACCACAGGUGUGACACUGAGGACGGACAGGUAGAGACACAGACCACAGGUGUGACACUGAGGACAGACAGGUAGAGACACAGACCACAGGUAAGACACUGAGGACAGACAGGUAGAGACACAGACCACAGGUGUGACACUGAGGACGGACAGGUAGAGACACAGAGACGACAGGUGUGACACUGAGGAUGGACAGGUAAAGGCACAAAGACGACAGGUGAGACACUGAGGAUGGACAGGGAGAGACAGAGACCACGGGUGAGACACUGAGGACAGACAGGUAGAGACACAGACCACAGGUGCGACACUGAGGACGGACAGGUAGAGACACAGACCACAGGUGAGACACUAAGGACGGACAGGUAGAGACACAGACCACAGGUGAGACACUGAAGACGGACAGGUAGAGACACAGACCACAGGUGCGACACUGAGGACGGACAGGUAGAGACACAGAUGACAGGUGAGACACUGAGGACAGACAGGUAGAGACACAGACCACAGGUGAGACACUGAAGACGGACAGGUUGAGACACAGACCACAGGUGUGACACUGAGGACGGACAGGUAGAGACACAGACCACAGGUGUGACACUGAGGACAGACAGGUAGAGACACAGACCACAGGUAAGACACUGAGGACAGACAGGUAGAGACACAGACCACAGGUGAGACACUGAAGACGGACAGGUUGAGACACAGACCACAGGUGUGACACUGAGGACGGACAGGUAGAGACACAGAGACGACAGGUGUGACACUGAGGACGGACAGGUAAAGGCACAAAGACGACAGGUGAGACACUGAGGAUGGACAGGGAGAGACAGAGACCACGGGUGACACACUGAGGACGGACAGGUAAAGGGACAGAGACCACAGGUGAGACACUGAGGAUGGACAGGGAGAGACAGAGACCACUUUGACUCCGCUUUCUGCUAUUUAAGCAAGUACAGGUGAGUCAGAUGUGUACACGUAAACCAGAUCUGUACAGGUGAGUCUGGUGUGCACAGGUGAGUCGGAUGUGUACAGGUGAGUCAGAGGUGUACAGGUGAUUCAGAUGUGUACAGGUGAGCCAAAUGUGUACAGGUGAUUCAGAUGUGUACAGGUGAGCCAAAUGUGUACAGGUGAGUCAGAUGUGUACAGGUAAGUCAGAUGUGUACAGGCGAGUCAGAUGUGUACAGAUGAAUGAGAUCUGUACAGGUGAGUCAGAUGUGUACAGGUAAGUCAGGUGUACACAGAUGAGUAAGGUUUGUACAGGUAAGUCAGGUGUGUACAGGUGAGUCAGAUGUGUAAAGGCGAGUCAGGUGUGUACAGGUGAGUCAGACAUGUACAGGUGAGUCGGAUAUUACAGGUGAGUCAGAUGUGUACAGGUGAACCAGAUGUGUACAGUUGAGUCAGGUGUGUACAGGUGAGUCAGAUGUGUACAGGUAUGUCAGGAGUGUACAGGUGAGUCAGAUGUGUAGAGGUGAGUCAGAUGUGUACAGGUAGGUCAGAUGUGUACAGGUGAGUCAGAUGUGUAAAGGUGAGUCAGAUGUGUACAGAUGAGUCAGGUGUGUUCAGGAAGUGAGGUGUACACAGGUGAGUCAGAAUUUUACAGGUGAGUCAGAUGUGUAGAGAUGAAUGAGAUCUGUAUAGGUGAGUCAGGUGUUUACAGGUAAGUCAGGUGUACACAGAUGAGUAAGGUGUGUACAGGUAAGUCAGGUGUGUACAGGUGAAUCAGGUGUGUCAACGUGAGUCAGGUGUGUACAGGUGAGUCAGACGUGUACAGGUGAACCAGAUGUGUACAGUUGAGUCAGGUGUGUACAGGUGAAUCAGGUGUGUCAACGUGAGUCAGGUGUGUACAGGUGAGUCAAAUGUGUCCAGGUGAGUCAGAUGUGUACAGGUAAGUCAGGAGUGUACAGGUGAGUCAGAUGUGUAGAGGUGAGUCAGAUGUGUACAGGUAAACCAGAUGUGUACAGGCGAGUCAGAUGUGUAAAGGUGAGUCAGAUGUGUACAGAUGAGUCAGGUGUGUUCAGGUAAGUGAGGUGUACACAGGUGAGUCAGAAUUUUACAGGUGAGUCAAAUGUGUACAGGUGAGUCAGAUGUUUACAGAUGAAUGAGAUCUGUACAGGUGAGUCAGAUGUUUACAGGUAAGUCAGGUGUACACAGAUGAGUAAGGUGUGUACAGGUAAGUCAGGUGUGUACAGGUGAAUCAGAUGUGUACAGGUGAGUCAAAGGUGUAGAGGUGAGUCAAAUGUGUACAGGUGAGUCAGAGGUGUACAGGUGAUUCAGAUAUGUACAGGUGAGUCAAAUAUGUACAGGUGAGUCAGAGGUGUAAAGGUGAGUCAGAGGUGUACAGGUGAGUCAGAUGUGUACAGGUGAGUCAAAUGUGUACAGGUGAGUCAGAGGUGUAAAGGUGAGUCAGAUGUGUACAGGUGAGUCGGAGGUGUACAGGUGAGUCAGAUGUGUACAGGUGAGUCAAAUGUGUACAGGUGAGUCAGAGGUGUAAAGGUGAGUCAGAUGUGUACAGGUGAGUCAGAGGUGUAAAGGUGAGUCAGAUGUGUACAGGUGAGUCAGAGGUGUAAAGGUGAGUCAGGUGUGCACAAGUGGGUCAGAUGUGUACUGGUGAGUAAGAGGUGUACAGGUGAGUCAGAUGUGUACAGGUGAGUCAAAUGUGUCCAGGUGAGUCAGGUGUGUACAGGUGAGUCAGGUGUGCACAGGUGAGUCAGAUGUGUACUGGUGAGUAAGAGGUGUACAGGUGAGUCAGAUGUGUACAGGUGAGUCAAAUGUGUCCAGGUGAGUCAGUUGUGCACAGGUGAGUCAGGUGUGUACUGGUGAGUCAGAUGUGUACUGGUGAGUAAGAGGUGUACAGGUGAGUCAGAUGUGUACAGGUGAGUCAAAUGUGUCCAGGUGAGUCAGUUGUGCACAGGUGAGUCAGGUGUGUACUGGUGAGUCAGAUGUGUACAGGUGAA